AGGACUAACGCUGGCGGCGUGCCUAACACACGCAAGUCGAACGAGGUAGCAAUACCUAGUGGCAGACGGGUGAGUAACACGUAGUCAACCUUCCCGAUAGUGGGGGAUAACUAGCCGAAAGGUUAGCUAAUACCGCAUACGAUCUUCGAGUGGCAUCAUUUGAAGAUGAAAGGAGCAAUCCGCUUUCGGACGGGACUGCGUCCCAUUAGCUAGAUGGUGGGGUAAUGGCCUACCAUGGCAACGAUGGGUAGCUGGUUUGAGAGAGCGACCAGCCACACUGGGACUGAGAAACGGCCCAGACUCCUACGGGAGGCAGCAGUGAGGAAUUUUCCGCAAUGGGCGAAAGCCUGACGGAGCGACGCCGCGUGUGGGAAGAAGGCCUUCGGGUCGUAAACCACUGUCGAAGGGGAAAUACUGAUGGUACCCUUGGAGGAAGCCCGGCUAACUACGCGCCAGCAGCCGC
This 463-nucleotide ribosomal RNA is filed under the name uncultured bacterium. RNAcentral's name for it is "SSU rRNA". It matches the Rfam family "Bacterial small subunit ribosomal RNA", at positions 26 to 518 of the family's 1533-position model. The record is from RNAcentral.